Mytilus californianus (California mussel) is the source of this 308-nucleotide long non-coding RNA. RefSeq lists it as uncharacterized. The record is from RefSeq and is a predicted model, not a curated record. NCBI's taxonomy places the organism in Eukaryota, Metazoa, Mollusca, Bivalvia, Mytilida, Mytilidae. The transcript is spliced from 2 exons.
CGCGCACCUCCAUUCAACAUCCGUUUUGAAAAUUUUGAAAAUUAUCCUCGACAAAUUAUCGCACCAUACUGAUAAACAAAUAGUGAACAACUGUGUCUAAAGAAUAUACAGACAAGAGAAGACCUUUCUGUGUAAACCUCUUGAUGUUAGCGCCUUCAGACGCUGUUCUAGACUGCCACAAAGAGACAACAGAAUCCAAAAUAUCUUAGCAGUGUUCAAGACAUUUGAAGUGUGAAGAGGGCAGAAUGAGUUGCUUGGCCAAAAGAAUAGAUCUUUAAAACAAAAUAAAUUUUUCAUUUUAAAAACCU